UACGAAGGGGGGUAGCGUUGUUCGGAAUCACUGGGCGUAAAGCGCACGUAGGCGGACUUCUAAGUCAGGGGUGAAAUCCCGGGGCUCAACCUCGGAACUGCCUUUGAUACUGGAAGUCUCGAGUCCGAGAGAGGUGAGUGGAACUCCUAGUGUAGAGGUGAAAUUCGUAGAUAUUAGGAAGAACACCAGUGGCGAAGGCGGCUCACUGGCUCGGUACUGACGCUGAGGUGCGAAAGCGUGGGGAGCAAACAGG
RNAcentral lists this ribosomal RNA (253 nucleotides) under uncultured bacterium. RNAcentral's name for it is "partial 16S ribosomal RNA". It matches the Rfam family "Bacterial small subunit ribosomal RNA", at positions 524 to 776 of the family's 1533-position model. The record is from RNAcentral.